GAAGUUGUGCAAAAUUAAUUAUUACGAUGGUUGUGAUUCCAUUGUGCAGACGGGAGAUGAUUCAUACAAAUUUCUAUAUGGUGAUCAGGCUCGGCAUUCGGAUUUGAAACGAGCCAUGGCUAGCGCUGGAGAGAAUAAUCUAAAUGCUACUAAGUUACGUGAUACAGAUCUGGACAACCUUGAUGGGAAACAUACUGUUUCUGGAGAGAUUGGAGAAGGAUUCGAUGAAGCUUAUGUGGAUGACAAGGGCAAGCCUUUUCAAAAUAUCCGAAUCAAACACACUCACAAAUUGGUUGAUCCUUUCCAAUUAAGUUACUUGAUUUCAUAUGCUUCAAAGCCAAAAGAGGAGAUUGAUGUUGAUGUUGGACUAGAGGAUGAGCGGGACCUUCCUUAUGCUGAGAUAAAACCCCGUGUGCUCUGGGUUUGUAAUUUGAAUUCAGUAACUGAAGACGAAGACCUAUAUACAAUCUUCUCACGCUUUGGAACCGUGGCAUCUGCUGAAAUUAUUAGAGAUCGCGAGACUGGG
This 526-nucleotide long non-coding RNA is filed under the name Solanum tuberosum (potato). Its description in RNAcentral is "long non-coding RNA (STUB_LNC011782)". The record is from RNAcentral. Lineage: Eukaryota; Viridiplantae; Streptophyta; Magnoliopsida; Solanales; Solanaceae.